AGGAACGGCCAUACCACGCCGAUCGCACCACAUCCCGUCCGCUCU
Molecule: ribosomal RNA, 45 nt
Filed under: Sphaerotrichia divaricata
Lineage: Eukaryota; Phaeophyceae; Ectocarpales; Chordariaceae
Source: RNAcentral